AACCAUCAAACCUUUUUUUUUUCUUUUCUCACCGCAUUCUCGUCUUCUCAUUUUCUCCGUCAGAGGAGGAACCAAACCGAUGACGGACGACCCUAUUCGUCGCCGUCUCUGUUACUCCCGUCGUCGACCCAAAACGCCGUCGAAGCUGAUUUAGUGAUGGAACCUAACGAUCAGUUUCACCGACUGAAAACGGCAGCGUAAGUGACGUGGAGAAGUUUCUCUGCGAGCGAUUGGUGGACCAGUCGCAGCCGAUCUCAGAGCGAUUCAGAGCUCUCUUCUCUCCUCGCAACUUGAAAGGCCCCGGACCUCGCAACGCUCUAAUCCUGGCAGCAGAAUCUCUCGGAGCCAUUGGUUUAGCUGGUAAUGCUGAGAUUUUGAAGCAAAGUUUGGUUCUGGAUCCAGCACAAGAGGUUCGGGAAACGUGUGAGUUAGCUCUCAAAAGGAUUGAAGAUCUGAGUAGUGUUGAUGCGGAGAAGGAGUUAGACACGACAAAGACGGCUCAUGCUGCUGCUUUCUCCUCUGUACACCAGCUGAGGUUCUUCUAAACUUGACCAACUCUAAAUCUUCUAGAUGGUUUUUCAGUUUGUGAUAGCUUAUUUGAUUAACAGCAGAUUCUUCCAGAUGAAAUUAAAGGCAUGUAUGAGAGAUAUGCUGCACUUUUCGCUCUAAGUAAUCAUGGGGGAGAGUAAGCUGUUUCUGCCAUAGUUGAUUCUUUUGAGUGCUAACAGUGCCCUUUUACGUAUUCCUUCGUUUGAUGACUUUCAGUUUGUUCAUGAACUUGCAUAAGUGUUUGUGUUUGUUAAGAGCUUGAAUCUUCAAUCUUUGCUUCAUUGA
RNA transcript from Brassica oleracea var. oleracea, 834 nucleotides. It is a transcript of the gene named deoxyhypusine hydroxylase-like, with no coding region annotated. The transcript has 2 exons. NCBI's taxonomy places the organism in Eukaryota, Viridiplantae, Streptophyta, Magnoliopsida, Brassicales, Brassicaceae. The record is from RefSeq and is a predicted model, not a curated record.